This 502-nucleotide ribosomal RNA is filed under the name uncultured bacterium. RNAcentral describes it as "partial 16S ribosomal RNA". It matches the Rfam family "Bacterial small subunit ribosomal RNA", at positions 28 to 507 of the family's 1533-position model. The record is from RNAcentral.
GAUUAACGCUGGCGGCGUGCCUAACACAUGCAAGUCGAGCGGCAGCGCGUUUUACACUGAAUUCUGGAAGCUUCUAGUUGAAAGAGAAGAUUUAUUCAAGAAUUUUGUGUAAAAUGUCGGCGAGCGGCGGACGGCUGAGUAACGCGUGGGAACGUACCCCAAAGUGAGGGAUAACGCAUCGAAAGGUGUGCUAAUACCGCAUAUGGUCUUCGGAUUAAAGCCUUCGGGCGCUUUGGGAACGGCCUGCGUAAGAUUAGAUAGUUGGUGGGGUAAUGGCCUACCAAGUCGACGUUCUUUACCUGGUAUGAGAGGAUGAUCAGUCAGACUGGAACUGAGACACGGUCCAGACUCCUACGGGAGGCAGCAGUGAGGAAUCUUCCACAAUGGGCGAAAGCCUGAUGGAGCAACGCCGCGUGCAGGAUGAAGGCCUUCGGGUUGUAAACUGCUUUUAUAAGUGAGGAUUAUGACAGUAACUUAUGAAUAAGGAUCGGCUAACUACGUG